AAUAGAUACAUGAGCUCUCUAUGAUACAUUGGCUAUUGCUACUAUUGAUUUUUUUGUAUUGGGUACUCACAUUUAUGCAUUAGGUUAUGAUAAUUGAUUUGUUAUGUCUAUAUACAAUGGGAGUUGAUUUAGCCUUUGUUAUUUAGCUCAAUUGCUCAUAGUUCACUAGUAGAACUAUGGUUUGAUGAAGAUAUUGUUAAUGGUAUGGGUGGAGACUGGAGUGUG
RNAcentral lists this unclassified non-coding RNA (225 nucleotides) under Hevea brasiliensis (rubber tree). Lineage: Eukaryota; Viridiplantae; Streptophyta; Magnoliopsida; Malpighiales; Euphorbiaceae. The record is from RNAcentral.